RNAcentral lists this ribosomal RNA (740 nucleotides) under uncultured bacterium. RNAcentral describes it as "bacterial SSU rRNA". It matches the Rfam family "Bacterial small subunit ribosomal RNA", at positions 33 to 773 of the family's 1533-position model. The record is from RNAcentral.
ACGCUAGCGGGAGGCCUAACACAUGCAAGCCGAGCGGUAUUUGACUUUCGGGACAGAGAGAGCGGCGUACGGGUGCGGAACACGUGUGCAACCUACCUUUAUCAGGGGGAUAGCCUUUCGAAAGGAAGAUUAAUACCCCAUAAUAUAUUGAUUGGCAUCAGUUAAUAUUGAAAACUCCGGUGGAUAGAGAUGGGCACGCGCAAGAUUAGAUAGUUGGUAGGGUAACGGCCUACCAAGUCAGUGAUCUUUAGGGGGCCUGAGAGGGUGAUCCCCCACACUGGUACUGAGACACGGACCAGACUCCUACGGGAGGCAGCAGUGAGGAAUAUUGGACAAUGGGUGAGAGCCUGAUCCAGCCAUCCCGCGUGAAGGACGACGGCCCUAUGGGUUGUAAACUUCUUUUGUAUAGGGAUAAACCUACUCUCGUGAGAGUAGCUGAGGGUACUAUACGAAUAAGCACCGGCUAACUCCGUGCCAGCAGCCGCGGUAAUACGGAGGGUGCAAGCGUUAUCCGGAUUUAUUGGGUUUAAAGGGUCCGUAGGCGGAUCUGUAAGUCAGUGGUGAAAUCUCAUAGCUUAACUAUGAAACUGCCAUUGAUACUGCAGGUCUUGAGUAAAGUAGAAGUGGCUGGAAUAAGUAGUGUAGCGGUGAAAUGCAUAGAUAUUACUUAGAACACCAAUUGCGAAGGCAGGUCACUAUGUUUUAACUGACGCUGAUGGACGAAAGCGUGGGGAGCAAAC